Molecule: ribosomal RNA, 468 nt
Filed under: uncultured bacterium
Lineage: Bacteria
Description: bacterial SSU rRNA
Rfam family: Bacterial small subunit ribosomal RNA
Source: RNAcentral
GACGAACGCUGGCGGCGCGACCUAACACAUGCAAGUCGAACGAGAGAUGAGGAGCGUUGCUCUUCAAAUCGAGUGGCGAACGGGUGAGUAACGCGUGAGGAACCUGCCUCAAAGAGGGGGACAACAGUUGGAAACGACUGCUAAUACCGCAUAAGCCCACAGCUCGGCAUCGAGCAGAGGGAAAAGGAGCAAUCCGCUUUGAGAUGGCCUCGCGUCCGAUUAGCUAGUUGGUGAGGUAACGGCCCACCAAGGCGACGAUCGGUAGCCGGACUGAGAGGUUGAACGGCCACAUUGGGACUGAGACACGGCCCAGACUCCUACGGGAGGCAGCAGUGGGGAAUAUUGCACAAUGGGGGAAACCCUGAUGCAGCGACGCCGCGUGGAGGAAGAAGGUCUUCGGAUUGUAAACUCCUGUUGUUGAGGAAGAUAAUGACGGUACUCAACAAGGAAGUGACGGCUAACUACGUG